RNAcentral lists this microRNA precursor (89 nucleotides) under Canis lupus familiaris (dog). RNAcentral's name for it is "mir-8799 microRNA precursor family". It matches the Rfam family "mir-8799 microRNA precursor family". The record is from Rfam by way of RNAcentral. Lineage: Eukaryota; Metazoa; Chordata; Mammalia; Carnivora; Canidae. RNAcentral also lists the same sequence under 1 other name.
AGGGGGAGGCCGGAUCCUGGGGUGUGUCCCGGCGCUCUGGGCUCCCGGUCUGCGCUGUUGGAUUCGUGCUCCCUUCCGCGCAGCCCCCU